CCUAGUAACUGCGAGUGAAGCGGGAAAAGCUCAAAUUUAAAAUCUGGCGGUCUUUGGCUGUCCGAAUUGUAAUCUAGAGAAGCAUUAUCCGCGCUGGACCGUGUACAAGUCUCCUGGAAUGGAGCGUCACAGAGGGUGAGAAUCCCGUCUUUGACACGGACUACCAGGGCUUUGUGAUGUGCUCUCAAAGAGUCGAGUUGUUUGGGAAUGCAGCUCAAAAUGGGUGGUAAAUUCCAUCUAAAGCUAAAUAUUGGCGAGAGACCGAUAGCGAACAAGUACCGUGAGGGAAAGAUGAAAAGAACUUUGGAAAGAGAGUUAAACAGUACGUGAAAUUGCUGAAAGGGAAACGCUUGAAGUCAGUCGCGUUGGCCAGGGAUCAACCUUGCUUUUUUGCUUGGCUUACUUUCUGGUUGACGGGUCAGCAUCAAUUUUGACUGGUGGAAAAAGUUCAAGGGAAUGUGGCAUCUUUGGAUGUGUUAUAGCCUUUGUUCGCAUACAUCAGUUGGGAUUGAGGAACUCAGCACGCCGAAAGGCCGGGUUUUUAACCACGUACGUGCUUAGGAUGCUGGCAAAAUGGCUUUAAUCGACCCGUCUUGAAACACGGACCAAGGAGUCUAACAUGCCUGCGAGUGUUUGGGUGGAAAACCCGAGCGCAUAAUGAAAGUGAAAGUUGAGAUCCCUGUCAUAGGGAGCAUCGACGCCCGGAUCUGACCUUUUGUGACGAUUCCGCGGUAGAGCAUGUAUGUUGGGACCCGAAAGAUGGUGAACUAUGCCUGAAUAGGGUGAAGCCAGAGGAAACUCUGGUGGAGGCUCGUAGCGAUUCUGACGUGCAAAUCGAUCGUCAAAUUUGGGUAUAGGGGCGAA
RNAcentral lists this ribosomal RNA (864 nucleotides) under Laccaria sp. Its description in RNAcentral is "LSU rRNA". It matches the Rfam family "Eukaryotic large subunit ribosomal RNA", at positions 79 to 927 of the family's 3401-position model. Lineage: Eukaryota; Fungi; Basidiomycota; Agaricomycetes; Agaricales; Hydnangiaceae. The record is from RNAcentral.